CUCCCUAUAGCUCAACAGGAUAGAGCAGCCGCCUCCUAAGCGGCCGAUGAGGGUUCGAGUCCUUCUGGGGAGGCCA
This 76-nucleotide transfer RNA is filed under the name Ferrimonas aestuarii. Its description in RNAcentral is "Ferrimonas sp. IMCC35002 tRNA-Arg". It matches the Rfam family "tRNA". Rfam says of the family: Transfer RNA (tRNA) molecules are approximately 80 nucleotides in length. Their secondary structure includes four short double-helical elements and three loops (D, anti-codon, and T loops). The record is from RNAcentral. Lineage: Bacteria; Pseudomonadati; Pseudomonadota; Gammaproteobacteria; Alteromonadales; Ferrimonadaceae.